RNAcentral lists this small nucleolar RNA (133 nucleotides) under Pteropus vampyrus (large flying fox). RNAcentral describes it as "Small nucleolar RNA SNORA42/SNORA80 family (ENSPVAG00000027486.1)". The record is from RNAcentral. Lineage: Eukaryota; Metazoa; Chordata; Mammalia; Chiroptera; Pteropodidae.
AAAUAAUAAGAACUAAUGAGGGCCCUUCUCCAUGAGUCUCUCACAGUGGACUCAUGCCAGAGUAACUGCAGCCUCCAAGCAUUGCCCAGCCCUUCACCUGCGGGCUGUGAGCACUGAAGAGGCUUGUACAGUA